UGGGGAAUCUUGGACAAUGGGCGCAAGCCUGAUCCAGCAAUACCGCGUGGGUGAUGAAGGUCUUCGGAUUGUAAAGCCCUUUUAGUGAGGAAGAUAGUGACGGUACUCACAGAAAAAGCACCGGCAAACUUCGUGCCAGCAGCCGCGGUAAUACGAAGGGUGCUAGCGUUGUUCGGAAUCAUUGGGCGUAAAGGGCGCGUAGGCGGCAAGGUAAGUCAGACGUGAAAGCCCUGGGCUUAACCCAGGAACUGCGUUUGAUACUGCCAUGCUUGAGUUCGGUAGAGGGUAGUGGAAUUCCCGGUGUAGAGGUGAAAUUCGUAGAUAUCGGGAGGAACACCAGUGGCGAAAGCGGCUACCUGGACCGACACUGACGCUAAGGCGCGAAAGCGUGGGGAGCAAACAGGAUUAGAUACCCCCGUAGUCCCUGAGCGGGCUGGCAAGGCGCAU
This 447-nucleotide ribosomal RNA is filed under the name uncultured bacterium. Its description in RNAcentral is "bacterial SSU rRNA". It matches the Rfam family "Bacterial small subunit ribosomal RNA", at positions 355 to 825 of the family's 1533-position model. The record is from RNAcentral.